UUUCCGUAGGUGAACCUGCGGAAGGAUCAUUAAAAAAUGUGGUACCAUUUGUUGGUACUAAUUAAUCAUCCUACCCUUUGUGAAUUUGUUUGUAACGAAUUUUUUUAAAUGGGUCUUUCCCUAAGUUGGAUUGUAGUAAAAAUACAAAAAGACUUAGGGAAUGACUUUUUUAAAAGACUUUUUUUUUAAAUUAAAACUUUUUGUAUUCAUUUGUCUAAAAUUUAUUUUUAUAAUAUAAAAACAACUUUUGACAAUGGAUCUCUUGGUUCUCGCAACGAUGAAGAACGCAGCAAAAUGCGAUAAGUAGUGUGAAUUGCAGAAUACGUGAAUCAUCGAAUCUUCGAACGCAUAUUGCACUUUUUUAGUUUACUAAAAAAGUAUGUCUGUUUGAGUAUCAGUAAAAUAUUCUCACAAAAACAAUUUGUUUUUUGUGGUUAUGAGUGUUUUACAACGAUAAACAAGUUGUUUCACUUUAAAUUCUUUUUAAUUGAAUUUUACCAAUUCAUAAAUUAAAAUUGGAUAAAAUUUUCCUUUAACGAGGAAUAACCUAAACAAUUUUAAAUUUUAUGGAUUAAUAAACAUUCAUCAAAGGAAUUAUACAACAAAUAACUUGAUCUCAAAUCAGAUAAGAGUACCCGCUGAACUUAAGCAUAUCAAUAAGCGGAGGAAAAGAAACUAACAAGGAUUCCCUUAGUAACGGCGAGUGAAGCGGGAAGAGCUCAAAUUUGAAAUCUUCAAGGUUUGACCUGACGAAUUGUAGUUUAUAGAAGUGUUUUCUGUUGGAGUUUUGGUAAAAGUUCUUUGGAAUAGGACAUCAUAGAGGGUGAGAAUCCCGUAUUCGACCAUGACUUUCCAGCUGUGUGAUACACUUUCAAAGAGUCGGAUUGUUUGGGAGUGCAGUCCAAAAUGGGUGGUAAAUUUCAUCUAAAGCUAAAUAUUGGCGAGAGACCGAUAGCGAACAAGUACCGUGAGGGAAAGAUGAAAAGAACUUUGAAAAGAAAGUUAAACAGUACGUGAAAUUGUCAAAAGUGAAGCGUUUGACACCAGUGUUGUUUUCUCGAAAAUCAAUUUAAUGAGUUCUUGUUUUUAAGUUAUUGUGACUUUAUCAGCGCAUUUCUUAUUUUACUUGACUCAUUGAAUGCACUUUUCGUUUAACAAGUCAACAUCAAUUUCUUUGGUGGUAAAAAGUUUAAAGGAAGGUGGCUUGGACUUCGGUUCAAGUGUUAUAGCCUUUUUUCUAUGCCAUCGGAGAGAUUGAGGUCUGCAGCGUAGAUCCUUCGGGGUUAGAUACCUUUGUGCCUAAGUUAUAGUUUUUUAUAGACAACUUGUUGACUAUAAUUAACCCUGUAAUUUACUCGCUUAGGCUAUUUUACCUACGCUUAGGAUGUUG
RNAcentral lists this unclassified non-coding RNA (1390 nucleotides) under uncultured Neocallimastigales. RNAcentral describes it as "partial contains small subunit ribosomal RNA, internal transcribed spacer 1, 5.8S ribosomal RNA, internal transcribed spacer 2, and large subunit ribosomal RNA". The stretch from base 612 to 1390 matches the Rfam family "Eukaryotic large subunit ribosomal RNA", at positions 1 to 628 of the family's 3401-position model. The record is from RNAcentral. Lineage: Eukaryota; Fungi; Neocallimastigomycota; Neocallimastigomycetes; Neocallimastigales.